ACGGGAGGCAGCAGUGAGGAAUAUUGGUCAAUGGGCGAGAGCCUGAACCAGCCAAGUAGCGUGCAGGAUGACGGCCCUCCGGGUUGUAAACUGCUUUUAGUUGGGAAUAAAAGGGAGUACGCGUACUCCAUAUUGUAUGUACCAUCAGAAAAAGGACCGGCUAAUUCCGUGCCAGCAGCCGCGGUAAUACGGAAGGUCCGGGCGUUAUCCGGAUUUAUUGGGUUUAAAGGGAGCGCAGGCGGCCUUUUAAGCGUGUGGUGAAAUGUAGGCGCUCAACGUCUGCACUGCCACGCGAACUGGAGGGCUUGGGUGCGGUGAACGCUGGCGGAAUUCGUGGUGUAGCGGUGAAAUGCUUAGAUAUCACGAAGAACUCCGAUUGCGAAGGCAGCUGGCGGUACCGUUACCGACGCUCAUGCUCGAAAGUGUGGGUAUCGAACAGGAUUAGAUACCCUGGUA
This 456-nucleotide ribosomal RNA is filed under the name uncultured Prevotella sp. RNAcentral describes it as "partial 16S ribosomal RNA". It matches the Rfam family "Bacterial small subunit ribosomal RNA", at positions 341 to 792 of the family's 1533-position model. The record is from RNAcentral. Lineage: Bacteria; Pseudomonadati; Bacteroidota; Bacteroidia; Bacteroidales; Prevotellaceae.